AGGAGCCGGAUGAUGCGAGAGUAUCACGUCCGGAUCUGUGAGCGGCCGAGGGUGAAACUCCCUCGGCCUACUCGAC
RNAcentral lists this non-coding RNA (76 nucleotides) under Bradyrhizobium huanghuaihaiense. RNAcentral also lists the same sequence under 1 other name. Lineage: Bacteria; Pseudomonadati; Pseudomonadota; Alphaproteobacteria; Hyphomicrobiales; Nitrobacteraceae. The record is from RNAcentral.